This 294-nucleotide ribosomal RNA is filed under the name uncultured Campylobacterota bacterium. Its description in RNAcentral is "uncultured Epsilonproteobacteria bacterium partial 16S ribosomal RNA". It matches the Rfam family "Bacterial small subunit ribosomal RNA", at positions 28 to 320 of the family's 1533-position model. Lineage: Bacteria; Pseudomonadati; Campylobacterota. The record is from RNAcentral.
GAUGAACGCUGGCGGUGCGCCUAACACAUGCAAGUCGAGCGGGAUUAUCUAAACGGAAGCUUCGGUGGAAGAUUAGAUAUGAGAGCGGCGGACGGGUGAGUAAUACCUUAGAAUCUGCCCCUAAGUGAGGGAUAGCCACGGGAAACUGUGAUUAAUACCGCAUAUGCUAGAGAUAGUAAAGCCUUCGGGCGCUUAGGGAGGAGCUUUGGUCCUAUCAGCUAGUUGGUGGUGUAAGAGACUACCAAGGCAAUGACGGGUAGCUGGUCUGAGAGGAUGAUCAGCCACAAUGGAACU